This 508-nucleotide ribosomal RNA is filed under the name uncultured bacterium. Its description in RNAcentral is "bacterial SSU rRNA". It matches the Rfam family "Bacterial small subunit ribosomal RNA", at positions 19 to 518 of the family's 1533-position model. The record is from RNAcentral.
AUGGCUCAGGAUGAACGCUAGCUACAGGCUUAACACAUGCAAGUCGAGGGGCAGCAGUGGAGUAGCAAUACUUCAGAUGGCGACCGGCGCACGGGUGAGUAACACGUAUCCAACCUGCCGCUUACUCGGGGAUAGCCUUUACGAAAGAAAGAUUAAUACCCGAUGGUAUAAAGAGUUCGCAUGUUCUCUUUAUUAAAGAAUUUCGGUAAGCGAUGGGGAUGCGUUCCAUUAGAUAGUUGGCGGGGUAACGGCCCACCAAGUCUACGAUGGAUAGGGGUUCUGAGAGGAAGGUCCCCCACAUUGGAACUGAGACACGGUCCAAACUCCUACGGGGGGCAGCAGUGAGGAAUAUUGGUCAAUGGACGAGAGUCUGAACCAGCCAAGUAGCGUGAAGGAUGACUGCCCUAUGGGUUGUAAACUUCUUUUAUAAGGGAAUAAAGUGAGGGACGUGUCCCUUUUUGUAUGUACCUUAUGAAUAAGGAUCGGCUAACUCCGUGCCAGCAGCAGC